Molecule: ribosomal RNA, 225 nt
Filed under: uncultured bacterium
Lineage: Bacteria
Description: partial 16S ribosomal RNA
Rfam family: Bacterial small subunit ribosomal RNA
Source: RNAcentral
CGGAACACGUACGCAACCUUCCUUUAACUGGAGGAUAGCCCCUCGAAAGAGGGAUUAAUACUCCGUAACAUCACGAUAUGGCAUCAUAAUGUGAUUAUAGCUCCGGCGGUUAAAGAUGGGCGUGCGCCUGAUUAGAUAGUUGGCGGGGUAACGGCCCACCAAGUCUGCGAUCAGUAACUGGUGUGAGAGCACGACCAGUCACACGGGCACUGAGACACGGGCCCG